This 253-nucleotide ribosomal RNA is filed under the name uncultured bacterium. Its description in RNAcentral is "partial 16S ribosomal RNA". It matches the Rfam family "Bacterial small subunit ribosomal RNA", at positions 524 to 776 of the family's 1533-position model. The record is from RNAcentral.
UACGAAGGGGGCGAGCGUUGUUCGGAAUUACUGGGCGUAAAGGGCGCGUAGGCGGCCUUCUAAGUCGAACGUGAAAUCCCCGGGCUCAACCCGGGAACUGCGUCCGAUACUGGAAGGCUUGAAUCCGGGAGAGGGAUGCGGAAUUCCAGGUGUAGCGGUGAAAUGCGUAGAUAUCUGGAGGAACACCGGUGGCGAAGGCGGCAUCCUGGACCGGCAUUGACGCUGAGGCGCGAAAGCCAGGGGAGCAAACGGG